UACGUAGGGGGCGAGCGUUGUCCGGAAUUACUGGGCGUAAAGGGCGCGUAGGCGGCCUUAUAAGCUUCGUGUGAAAACCCUGUUAUUAAGGCAGGAGGUGCACGGAAAACUGUAAGGCUUGAGUGCAGGAGAGGGAAGCGGAAUUCCAAGUGUAGCGGUAAAAUGCGCAGAUAUUUGGAGGAACACCGGUGGCGAAGGCGGCUUCCUGGGCCUGUACUGACGCUCAUGCACGAAAGCGUGGGGAGCAAACAGGAUUAGAUACCCGGGUAGUCCCUGAGCGGGCU
RNAcentral lists this ribosomal RNA (284 nucleotides) under uncultured prokaryote. RNAcentral's name for it is "partial 16S ribosomal RNA". It matches the Rfam family "Bacterial small subunit ribosomal RNA", at positions 524 to 817 of the family's 1533-position model. The record is from RNAcentral.